This 227-nucleotide ribosomal RNA is filed under the name uncultured prokaryote. RNAcentral's name for it is "partial 16S ribosomal RNA". It matches the Rfam family "Bacterial small subunit ribosomal RNA", at positions 524 to 750 of the family's 1533-position model. The record is from RNAcentral.
UACGAAGGGGGCUAGCGUUGUUCGGAAUCACUGGGCGUAAAGCGCGCGUAGGCGGCUUGACAAGUCAGGGGUGAAAUCCCACAGCUUAACUGUGGAACUGCCUUUGAUACUGUCUGGCUAGAAGGCAAUAGGGGAUAGCGGAAUUCCUGGUGUAGAGGUGAAAUUCGUAGAUACCAGGAGGAACACCGGUGGCGAAGGCGGCUAUCUGGAUUGCACUUGACGCUCUG